CCUACGGGCGGCUGCAGUAGGGAAUAUUGCUCAAUGGGGGAAACCCUGAAGCAGCAACGCCGCGUGGAGGAUGAAGGUUUUCGGAUUGUAAACUCCUUUUGUUAGAGAAGAUAAUGACGGUAUCUAACGAAUAAGCACCGGCUAACUCCGUGCCAGCAGCCGCGGUAAUACGGAGGGUGCAAGCGUUACUCGGAAUCACCGGGCGUAAAGGGCGCGUAGGCGGGUUAGCAAGUCAGAUGUGAAAUCCUAUGGCUUAACCAUAGAACUGCAUUUGAAACUGGUAUUCUAGAGUAUGGGAGAGGUAGGUGGAAUUCUUGGUGUAGGGGUAAAAUCCGUAGAGAUCAAGAAGAAUACUCAUUGCGAAGGCGACCUGCUAGAACAUAACUGACGCUGAUGCGCGAAAGCGUGGGGAGCAAACAGGAUUAGAUACCCGAGUAGUC
This 440-nucleotide ribosomal RNA is filed under the name uncultured bacterium. RNAcentral's name for it is "partial 16S ribosomal RNA". It matches the Rfam family "Bacterial small subunit ribosomal RNA", at positions 338 to 795 of the family's 1533-position model. The record is from RNAcentral.